RNAcentral lists this ribosomal RNA (467 nucleotides) under uncultured bacterium. Its description in RNAcentral is "bacterial SSU rRNA". It matches the Rfam family "Bacterial small subunit ribosomal RNA", at positions 329 to 793 of the family's 1533-position model. The record is from RNAcentral.
GGCCAGACUCCUACGGGAGGCAGCAGUGAGGAAUAUUGGUCAAUGGGCGCAAGCCUGAACCAGCCAAGUCGCGUGAGGGAUGACGGUCCUAUGGAUUGUAAACCUCUUUUGCCGGGGAGCAAGGGCGGGGACGUGUCCCGGCCCGGAGAGUACCCGGAGAAAAAGCAUCGGCUAACUCCGUGCCAGCAGCCGCGGUAAUACGGAGGAUGCGAGCGUUAUCCGGAUUUAUUGGGUUUAAAGGGUGCGUAGGCGGGCUUUUAAGUCAGCGGUAAAAAUUCGGGGCUCAACCCCGUCCGGCCGUUGAAACUGGGGGCCUUGAGUGGGCGAGAAGUACGCGGAAUGCGUGGUGUAGCGGUGAAAUGCAUAGAUAUCACGCAGAACUCCGAUUGCGAAGGCAGCGUACCGGCGCCCAACUGACGCUGAAGCACGAAGGCGUGGGUAUCGAACAGGAUUAGAUACCCGGGUAU